UAAACAAGCAUAUACGCUCCGCACUUGCCAAUUUCACCUCUGUUAAGGAUGCAACAGCCCUGCAGAUACUGCCGCAGAAAAACCGUCAAAUACUACAUAUAAUUCAGUAUUUUAACUCCAGCAACUCAUUAUACAGAAAGCAGAGGAUAAGUCCCUGCAGCAUGCUACCCUAUCUUCCAGUACAAUGAACCAAUGAAAAACAAAGAAAGUAAUCCUGUUAUGUUGUCUAACUUUGGUAUAUCAGUCUCCUUAAAUUUUAAUACAUAUCCACAAGCUUCAAGGUGCAACCUCGAUAAGGUCUGAACGUUAAAGGCAAGACGCACAUCGCGACACCUGAAACCAAGGUUCAGAGAAAGUCUAAAUAACCAACACUGGCCUUGGCUUCUAAACGUACAAAAUACACACGACAGCUAUGGAAUACUCCAGAAACAAGAAGUUGAGCUCCAACAUACAGGAUGCACCACCCAUAAAGAGCGGAUGACGCCUAACAGCAGUACUCACAGCGAUUCCAAUCACAAGUUGAAAUCUUUUGCCCCUCAACUACUAUAAACCUCCAACCCAAAAAAGACAUAAACAACCUCGAUAAUGUUUUCAUUUUUAGAAACCCAAUUAAAUAACUUAUUAUUUGGUUAAUUUUAUCUAGACUUUAUUCAGCAGGUAGCUGAUAUCAGGUAACAAUUAAUAGACAAGACAUUUUGCCCCCCAACCAAAUGAAGCCGUCGUCAGUAAAACUAAAGCAGAAAGAAAUCCACAUAAGUAGAAUCACGUACGUAACGCUCACGGUGUCAAUACUCGAAAUUCGUUCUCUUUUUCUCCUCUUGACACACACGU
RNAcentral lists this long non-coding RNA (831 nucleotides) under Malus domestica (apple). Its description in RNAcentral is "long non-coding RNA (MDOM_LNC014528)". The record is from RNAcentral. Lineage: Eukaryota; Viridiplantae; Streptophyta; Magnoliopsida; Rosales; Rosaceae.